GGCAUUCCAUCUUGGCAAGGGAUAGAGGAUAACUUACGGAUCCUGUUUGGCCUUUCAGAAGGAGGAAGCUGAGACUUGGAAAGAGAAGUGAGUUAACUUAAGUCAUCACCGGUGAGAGAUUCCAAUGACAAAAUCUCCAUCUGGUUGUUUCCGAGUGUAUGAAGCAUCACCACGGACUCUCAGGUUUAGGAUUUCAUGUUCAUUUCUCAAUUCCAAGGUGGAGGAAACAGGUAACCCUCACUUCUGAUAGAGAUUGAAAAAAA
Ochotona princeps (American pika) is the source of this 263-nucleotide long non-coding RNA. RefSeq lists it as uncharacterized. The transcript has 3 exons. The record is from RefSeq and is a predicted model, not a curated record. Lineage: Eukaryota; Metazoa; Chordata; Mammalia; Lagomorpha; Ochotonidae.